RNAcentral lists this ribosomal RNA (253 nucleotides) under uncultured bacterium. Its description in RNAcentral is "partial 16S ribosomal RNA". It matches the Rfam family "Bacterial small subunit ribosomal RNA", at positions 524 to 776 of the family's 1533-position model. The record is from RNAcentral.
UACGAAGGGGGCUAGCGUUGCUCGGAAUCACUGGGCGUAAAGGGUGCGUAGGCGGAUCUUUAAGUCAGGGGUGAAAUCCUGGAGCUCAACUCCAGAACUGCCUUUGAUACUGAAGGUCUUGAGUUCGGGAGAGGUGAGUGGAACUGCGAGUGUAGAGGUGAAAUUCGUAGAUAUUCGGAGGAACACCAGUGGCGAAGGCGGCUCACUGGCUCGAUACUGACGCUGAGGUGCGAAAGCGUGGGGAGCAAACAGG